ACGAACGGCUGUUUCAUUAAUCUGACGUGGCAUUAAAAUUGAAUUUUGUAUUAAAAAUUUGGAUGCACAUGUGUAAAUUCAUAUUUAAAAAAGGACAAAAUGGGCAAUGACUAUUUUCCUUUUCUCCUAAAAAAGAAGGAUGCAAGAUGCCCCUAUUACUCUCUCUUCUCUUCAACAAUGACAAUUUUCCCAUUAACUUGGCUCUGAAUGUUCAUUACCAUAUCCUAUACAAAAGCAUUAACUAAAAGUACUUCAUUAUACCUUCUGCUGGUCCGACAUCCAUGUGCACCCUCCAAUAACUUCACUGCCACCGAGGUCUUCAAUUAAAAAUUGCAAAAACCAUGUCCAACUGUCUUUGUUCUUUACUUCUACUACUGCAUAGGCAAUGGGUAGCAUUUUUUCGUUUGGGUCCCUACAACCAGCAGUCAGCAACUCCCCCUUGUAAACACCUUUCAAGAAACAUCCAUCUAAACAUAUAAUGCGCCUACAGCUUUUGAAACUAUCUUUACAAGCUUUCAGACAAACAUACGUUCUUUGAAAGAUUAGGUCACCAUUAUGAGAAUCAACUUUAAUCUGCACAGUUGACCCUGGGUUACACCUCAAAAGCUCAUGUCCAUAGUCGUACACCCUUUUAUACUAUUCUUUGAAAUCUCCUUCAACCUGUCUUGUGGUAAUUAACUUUGCCCUUCUUGCCUUGGAUAUUGACACAUUAGUAUUCCAUUUUCUUAAUGCUUUAGUACGAAUAUCAUUCACCUUUAAAUUAGGAUUGUCAACUAAAGAUCUAUCUAUUUCCUGACUUAACCACUUAGCAUUCAUCAGUUUAAUAUUAAGUUGCCUACUACAACUAUGAGUAUCAAUUAUCUUCCUCAAUUGCUAAAUUUUGCGUGACGGCAAAUAACCACAAUAGUCCCCACUUCCCACUUAUAAUCUGCCAUGGACUUCUGCUUUGCAUAUUUUGAGUAAGGACCUACAUAGGUUGUAUCAUCCUUGUCAUCCUCCUCACUUCCACUAUUUUCAGGAGUUAAAAGCUUAUUAGACUCCCAAUCAUCAUCUGACAAACUCCUACAUUGUUGGGUUUCUUUUUCACUGUCUUCAUCCACGUAUUCAUCACCACUGAGAUCAUUCAUUCCUGCUUCAUCAUCAUUGUCCACAUCCACUUCCACUUCCACUUUUUCUUCAAUAUCAACCUCACCUUCAUCCUGAAUGUCCACGUCAACUAAUUCUUCACUCUAAACCUCAAUUUCAUCCUCAUUAUCCACUUCCAAUGCUUCUUCACUUACAUCCUCAACUUCAUCCUCAUUCUCAACCUCCACAUCAACCUCGACAUAUUCUUCAUCCUCCUUGUCAUCCUCCAAGGAAUCCUCAUGCUCAACAUCCUCAUUAUCCACUAAAUCCUCCUUCUCAACCUCUAAUGCAUCGUCAUUCUCAUCAUCCCGUGCAUCCUCAUUGUCAACAUCCACUGCAUAGUCAUUCUCAACCUCUACUGCACCCUCCACUACGUGUCUAAUUCCUUCAUCACCACCCUCAACAUGUGCUUCUCCACCAACGCCACUACCCUCACCACUCUCUGCAGGACCUUCACAUAGGUACAAAAUCUCAUUCUCAUCAUUUUCUAAUAUAGUUGCUUCGUCCACCCCAUGCACAACAUACAGGUUCACUUUCCCCAAAUACUUAG
This 1675-nucleotide long non-coding RNA is filed under the name Vigna radiata. Its description in RNAcentral is "long non-coding RNA (VRAD_LNC018469)". The record is from RNAcentral. Lineage: Eukaryota; Viridiplantae; Streptophyta; Magnoliopsida; Fabales; Fabaceae.